AGAGUUUGAUCCUGGCUCAGAUUGAACGCUGGCGGCAUGCUUUACACAUGCAAGUCGAACGGUAACAGGCCGCAAGGUGCUGACGAGUGGCGAACGGGUGAGUAAUGCAUCGGAACGUGCCCAGUCGUGGGGGAUAACGCAGCGAAAGCUGCGCUAAUACCGCAUACGAUCUAUGGAUGAAAGCGGGGGACCGUAAGGCCUCGCGCGAUUGGAGCGGCCGAUGUCAGAUUAGGUAGUUGGUGGGGUAAAGGCUCACCAAGCCAACGAUCUGUAGCUGGUCUGAGAGGACGACCAGCCACACUGGGACUGAGACACGGCCCAGACUCCUACGGGAGGCAGCAGUGGGGAAUUUUGGACAAUGGGGGCAACCCUGAUCCAGCCAUGCCGCGUGAGUGAAGAAGGCCUUCGGGUUGUAAAGCUCUUUCAGCCGGGAAGAAAUCAUAUGGGUUAAUACCCUGUGUGGAUGACGGUACCGGAAUAAGAAGCACCGGCUAACUACGUGCCAGCAGCCGCGGUAAUACGUAGGGUGCGAGCGUUAAUCGGAAUUACUGGGCGUAAAGCGUGCGUAGGCGGUUCGUUAAGUCAGAUGUGAAAGCCCCGGGCUCAACCUGGGAACUGCAUUUGAAACUGGCGAACUAGAGUUGAGUAGAGGGGAGUGGAAUUUCAGGUGUAGCGGUGAAAUGCGUAGAUAUCUGAAGGAACACCAGUGGCGAAGGCGACUCCCUGGACUCAAACUGACGCUGAGGUACGAAAGCGUGGGUAGCAAACAGGAUUAGAUACCCUGGUAGUCC
This 791-nucleotide ribosomal RNA is filed under the name uncultured bacterium. Its description in RNAcentral is "bacterial SSU rRNA". It matches the Rfam family "Bacterial small subunit ribosomal RNA", at positions 8 to 796 of the family's 1533-position model. The record is from RNAcentral.